CUUACAGGGAGGACUGUUCUGCGGAGCGCUCCGAACGGACAAACCACAAUAAAAAGUUCACGUUCAUGGAUGGAAUCCACAUGACUUCUUGUGGCCAAUCCAACUUGAAGAGAGCUACAUCCUUCCCAGUGGGGAGCCCAGGCAGCCCCCCACUCCACCCUAGACGGGAACAGGAGACACACGCCGCUGGAAACCUCCUAGCCAAGCCUGACCUGGCCGUGUUCUGACGAGCGGAGAGGGUUUAGACCCAUACUGGGCAGCCCUGCGGAGGCAGCAGGAGGGGUGAGAGUUGGGGGCGGCCUCCAGGACCCCCAAAGAGCCCGUCAUCCUCAGGCUCCUUUCUCAGAGAAAAUGACAUUUUUCCUUCUCCAAGACUAUCCCUGGUGUCAAGUCUCCUCAAUUCCUAGGUUCAGAGGGCAGCUUAUUCCCAAUCUUUUUAGAAUUGAAAAUAAAAUGAAGGUCCAAGA
Molecule: long non-coding RNA, 467 nt
Organism: Felis catus (domestic cat)
Lineage: Eukaryota; Metazoa; Chordata; Mammalia; Carnivora; Felidae
Exons: 2
Source: RefSeq, a predicted model, not a curated record